Molecule: ribosomal RNA, 643 nt
Filed under: uncultured bacterium
Lineage: Bacteria
Description: bacterial SSU rRNA
Rfam family: Bacterial small subunit ribosomal RNA
Source: RNAcentral
GCAAGUCGAACGCUCACCUUCGGGUGGGAGUGGCAGACGGGUGAGUAACACGUGGGAACGUACCCUUUGGUUCGGGACAACUCUGGGAAACUGGAGCUAAUACCGGAUACGCCCUUUUGGGGAAAGGUUUACUGCCGAAGGAUCGGCCCGCGUCUGAUUAGCUAGUUGGUGGGGUAACGGCCUACCAAGGCGACGAUCAGUAGCUGGUCUGAGAGGAUGAUCAGCCACACUGGGACUGAGACACGGCCCAGACUCCUACGGGAGGCAGCAGUGGGGAAUAUUGGACAAUGGGCGCAAGCCUGAUCCAGCCAUGCCGCGUGAGUGAUGAAGGCCUUAGGGUUGUAAAGCUCUUUUAUCCGGGACGAUAAUGACGGUACCGGAGGAAUAAGCCCCGGCUAACUUCGUGCCAGCAGCCGCGGUAAUACGAAGGGGGCUAGCGUUGCUCGGAAUCACUGGGCGUAAAGGGCGCGUAGGCGGCGUUUUAAGUCGGGGGUGAAAGCCUGUGGCUCAACCACAGAAUGGCCUUCGAUACUGGGACGCUUGAGUCUGGUAGAGGUUGGUGGAACUGCGAGUGUAGAGGUGAAAUUCGUAGAUAUUCGCAAGAACACCGGUGGCGAAGGCGGCCAACUGGACCGGCACUGAC